Molecule: ribosomal RNA, 377 nt
Filed under: uncultured organism
Description: bacterial SSU rRNA
Rfam family: Bacterial small subunit ribosomal RNA
Source: RNAcentral
CGGAGGGGGCGAGCGUUGUCCGAAGUUACUGGGCGUAAAGCGCGCGUAGGUGGGAGCAAAAGUCCGCUGUGAAAGCCCGAGGCUCAACCUCGGAGGGUCGGUGGAUACUGUGCUUCUUGAAGGUGCUAGGGGAAGAUGGAAUUACCGGUGUAGCGGUGAAAUGCGUAGAUAUCGGUAGGAACACCAGUGGCGAAGGCGGUCUUCUGGGGCACUCUUGACGCUGAGGCGCGAAAGCGUGGGGGAGCGAACGGGAUUAGACUACCCCGGUACGUCCCACGACCCUAAACGAUGGAUACUAGGUGGUCGGGGUAUCCGACCCCCCGGUGCCGUCGCUAACGUUUUUAGUAUUCCGCCUGGGGAGUACGCACGCAAGUGUG